This 321-nucleotide long non-coding RNA is filed under the name Helianthus annuus (common sunflower). RNAcentral describes it as "hypothetical non coding rna". The record is from RNAcentral. Lineage: Eukaryota; Viridiplantae; Streptophyta; Magnoliopsida; Asterales; Asteraceae.
AACUUUUAUAUCUUUCAUCUUCUUUAUUUGUUCAGGUUCCUUUCUUCGUGUCUUUUCUCUUCUUGAUUUAAGUUCUUUGAGGGAAAUUAUGGCCUCUGGGUAAUUGGAUGGAUCAAAGCUUAAGGGACACAUUUGAUCAAAAUUGUUACCGCUAUGGAUGUGGUGUAUGCGUUGAAGAUGCAGGGGUGGACUCUGCACAAAUUUAGUGGUUAGGUUUGUUUUAUACUGGUUCGGGUUAGGAUCUGUUUUCCUUUUGUGUUAAAGAUGAAUUACUGUAAAACUUAGUGGUUUGUUGCCUACAUAAAUACAAUACUGAAUAUU